AGAUGAUGAUGAUGAUGAUGAUGAUGAUGAUGACGAUGGCAAUGAUGCUCUGUUAUUAUUGGUAUUGUUAUUAUCAUUAAUAUCGUUGUCAGCA
RNAcentral lists this microRNA precursor (94 nucleotides) under Bigelowiella natans CCMP2755. RNAcentral's name for it is "miRNA EPrBNAG00000013113". Lineage: Eukaryota; Cercozoa; Chlorarachniophyceae. The record is from RNAcentral.